CCCCACUAUGCCUAGCCAUUAACAACAAUCAACCCAACCUACCAACCAUUCGCCAGAGAACUACAAGCAAACCGCUUGAAACUCAAAGGACUUGGCGGUGUCCCAUAUCCCCCUAGAGGAGCCUGUCCUAUAAUCGAUACUCCACGCUAAACCUCACCACCCCAGGCCAAUCCAGUUUAUAUACCGCCGUCACCAGCCUACCCUGUGAAGGCCACCAAAGUAGGCAGAAACGCCUGCACAAAUACGUCAGGUCAAGGUGUAGCUAAUGGAGUGGAAGAGAUGGGCUACAUUUUCUAACCUAGAAAACACGGACACUACAAUGAAAUCUUGUACUUAAAGGAGGAUUUAGUAGUAAAAUAACGAAGAAAACUUAUUUUAACCUGGCACUG
Molecule: ribosomal RNA, 389 nt
Filed under: Gerrhosaurus typicus (Karoo plated lizard)
Lineage: Eukaryota; Metazoa; Chordata; Lepidosauria; Squamata; Gerrhosauridae
Description: partial 12S ribosomal RNA
Rfam family: Bacterial small subunit ribosomal RNA
Source: RNAcentral